AAGCAUUACAUGUUAUUCUUAACACCUGCCACUUCUCUCUUCCCACCUCUAUCUGCCUUAUUGAACUUCAUCUUUCCUUCAUUCUCUUCAACUUCCACUUCUUCUUGUAUGGUCCUGUUGAUGCCAUCUUGUUUCCGUCCCCAGACUCAUCAUCUUUACCCUCUGUCAACUGAGUUCCCACCCUGGUUCUCUCUCAAGAUCUUCCUCUCAUAGCUUUCACCCUUGGUAAACAAUGAGGACACAUCUCAAAAAGAAUGAUGUAAUUUAAUUGCCUUGAGUUGGCUGGGCCAUCAUCUAUUAUAAAGUGCUCUUAAAAUUAAAGCUAAUUUAAUUCUGAAGAACUAAGGAUUAAGAAGUUAAGAGCUGGGGUUCUUACAAUAUGGCUUGCAGACUACAAGUGUGAACUGAGGAGGUCCCCAAAGUCACUUCUUACUAAGUUCAGAUAGGUGAUGGAUUGAAAAUAAUCCCAAUAUUCCACAAGCAACAUCAACAUCCCCCACACACCCAGCACCGAGGAAUACCCUCCUCUCUAGAAUGUGAGGCCACUGUGUGGAGGAAGACACCACGGUGCUCUACUGAGCCAUGAAAGUCACGCCUGACCUAAACAGAAGACUACGUCCCCUGGCUAAAAGAGGAAAUAGUUGAAAGCGGUGUAAAUGGCUCUUAUCUGAACCACAAUGAAUUCACAUAUUCAAGUUGGCUUCUUCGGAAAUUUCAGGCCACAAAUGGCAGUGAUGCGACCAGGAGCAGUAACACGAUUACAAGUCGCAAUUUAGGAAGGGUGCUCCAUCAUCAUUUCAUGAUUCUCACUACAGCCCAGACAGGUGGGCAGAGCAGUGUUCUUUCCCCUUUAAUGAAUGAAGAAGCUGAGCCUCAAACAGAUGAGGGGGCUUCCUGGGUUCACAGAGCUCUAAAGGGCUGAGCUGUAGAUCCACGGCCACCAUGAUGAGCUAAGAGUUUCUGGAUUCAGUGCCUGCUGUUGCUCCUGGAGAUUUGUAUCCUGAUUGAAGGCUGGUUCCAUAUCUGUUCACCCAGUCACCUUUAAAAUUAAGUCCUGGGCACAAAUCAUUAGUCUGGCAAGUUACAUCACUGUGCCACUUCCAUCCGGACAGAAGGAACCCAGGUCAAGGCUGACAGGAGGAGCAGGAGCCGUCAAUGAGAGCAGACCUCAGAAGCCAACGGAGGUGAGAAGAGCACCAUCCACAGCCCCAUCCUCUGAAUGCUGUGGGAAGAAGUCCACAAAAUACCACCCCUUGGAGUCAGUCAGUAGUAGAGCCCUUGCUGCUGGCUGCAAAUACCCCAUCAGAACAUGUUUGGGGUGAUUCUUGGACCUGGUUUCAAUUUCUUUUCUGCCAGUCAGCAGUUGUGCUUGACUCACAAUUUGUUGCCAUCUCUUGAAUUAAACUCAGGAAACAGGAUAAAGAUCAGAACCACAUUGUAAAAGCUUCCUUAUGGUUCAUUUUUUGCUGAGAUAAAUAAUGAGCAGCUCUGAUCCAUGUCUCUGGAGAGCUCAGAGCACACUACCAGGAGCUCCUAGCCACAGGGUGAGCACAGGUGGCUGGUGUUCUCUUGAUGAGGAAAGACAGCAGUGUCCAAUCUACCCUGCCUUACACGGAGCCCCAGGUGCUCUCCCGGACUGUGUUGCUACCUAAAGCACAUGGCAAUUGCAUGAUGCUAACCAGAGCAGCCCCUCACUCAUUAGAAACAUCUGCUUUGCAUUAUUUACACAGGCAAAGUUUUCCUUUUUACUGAGCCUACCCAGUUCAAACUUAAGUGGGAUUUGCCAGCUAUCUGGCUAAUUUUAUGAGCAAUAAUAAAGAUUGGUGAACACUUG
RNAcentral lists this long non-coding RNA (1834 nucleotides) under Homo sapiens (human). Its description in RNAcentral is "HSALNT0357835". Lineage: Eukaryota; Metazoa; Chordata; Mammalia; Primates; Hominidae. The record is from RNAcentral.